AGAAGAUUAAUUUUGUAGACUACUAUAGCAUUUAUGUUAGACCUAGAAGAUUCAUUAAGAAAAAUAACACUGAAUCUGACAUAUUUUAGCUACAUGCAACACCCAAAGGGAUGUGCAUGCCAUGGUUUCAAACAACGGAAUUAAUUACUGUGUAUAUCACAUGAUCAAACCAACUCAAACUGAAUUGAACUGCAGCGUGCAGCCACCACUAAUAUGAAUUUUUUU
RNAcentral lists this unclassified non-coding RNA (225 nucleotides) under Hevea brasiliensis (rubber tree). The record is from RNAcentral. Lineage: Eukaryota; Viridiplantae; Streptophyta; Magnoliopsida; Malpighiales; Euphorbiaceae.